UGGGGAAUAUUGGGCAAUGGACGCAAGUCUGACCCAGCGACGCCGCGUGCGGGAUGAAGGCCUUCGGGUUGUAAACCGCUUUCAGCAGGGAAGAAGCGAAAGUGACGGUACCUGCAAAAGAAGCACCGGCUAACUAUGUGCCAGCAGCCGCGGUAAUACAUAGGGUGCAAGCGUUAAUCGGAAUUACUGGGCGUAAAGCGUGCGCAGGCGGUUAUAUAAGACAGAUGUGAAAUCCCCGGGCUCAACCUGGGACCUGCAUUUGUGACUGUAUAGCUAGAGUACGGUAGAGGGGGAUGGAAUUCCGCGUGUAGCAGUGAAAUGCGUAGAUAUGCGGAGGAACACCAGUGGCGAAGGCGGCCACCUGGACAGUAACUGACGCUGAGGCGCGAAAGUGUGGGUAGCAAACAGG
Molecule: ribosomal RNA, 409 nt
Filed under: uncultured bacterium
Lineage: Bacteria
Description: bacterial SSU rRNA
Rfam family: Bacterial small subunit ribosomal RNA
Source: RNAcentral